Molecule: ribosomal RNA, 406 nt
Filed under: uncultured bacterium
Lineage: Bacteria
Description: partial 16S ribosomal RNA
Rfam family: Bacterial small subunit ribosomal RNA
Source: RNAcentral
AUUGAACGCUGGCGGCAGGCCUAACACAUGCAAGUCGAACGAGUGGCGGACGGGUGAGUAAUGUCUGGGAACCUGACUGAUGGAGGGGGAUAACUACUGGAAACGGUAGCUAAUAACGCAUACCCUCCGAUUUGCCCAGAUGGGAUUAGCUUGUUGGUGGGGUAACGGGUCACCAAGGCGCCGCUCCCUAGCUGGUCUGAGAGGAUGACCAGCCACACUGGAACUGAGACACGGUCCAGACUCCUACGCGAGGCAGCAGUGGGGAAUAUUGCACAAUGGGCGCAAGCCUGAUGCAGCCAUGCCGCGUGUAUGAAGAAGGCCUUCGGGUUGUAAAGUACUUUCAGCGGGGAGGCGUUACCCGCAGAAGAAGCACCGGCUAACUCCGUGCCAGCAGCCGCGGUAAUAC